Molecule: ribosomal RNA, 1518 nt
Filed under: metagenome
Description: bacterial SSU rRNA
Rfam family: Bacterial small subunit ribosomal RNA
Source: RNAcentral
AGAGUUUGAUUCUGGCUCAGAACGAACGCUGGCAGCGUGGAUUAGGCAUGCAAGUCGAACGGGAACCCGUUGGUUCAAUUCUUCGGAAGAGAACCGGCGGGGGAGAGUGGCAAAAGGGUGAGUAACGCGUGGGUAACCUACCCUCGAGUUGGGGAUAACUCCGCGAAAGUGGGGCUAAUACCGAAUGUGAUCCUCCCGCAUAGGCGGGAAAGAUCAAAGGCGGGGACCUUUCGGGGCCUGUCGCUUGAGGAGGGGCCCGCGUACCAUCAGCUUGUUGGUGAGGUAACGGCUCACCAAGGCUUACGGUUAGCUGGUCUGAGAGGAUGGUCAGCCACACUGAGACUGAGACACUGCCCAGACUCCUACGGGAGGCUGCAGUCGAGGAUCAUUUACAAUGCGCGAAAGCGUGAUAAUGCGACGCUGCGUGGAGGAUGAAGGCCUUCGGGUCGUAAACUCCUGUCAUUCGGGAAAAACUGUCCCCGUACCAAUAUUGCGGGGGCGUGAUGGUACCGGAAGAGGAAGCCACGGCUAACUCUGUGCCAGCAGCCGCGGUAAUACAGAGGUGGCGAGCGUUGUUCGGAUUUACUGGGCGUAAAGGGUGCGUAGGUGGUAUCGUAUGUCGGAUGUGAAAGUCCGUGGCUCAACUGCGGAAGUGCAUCUGAAACUGCGAAACUUGAGUGCAGGAUGGGAGAGCGGAAUUCUUGGUGUAGCGGUGAAAUGCGUUGAUAUCAAGAAGAACACCGGUGGCGAAGGCGGCUCUCUGGAAUGCUACUGACACUGAGGCACGAAAGCUGGGGGAGCAAACAGGAUUAGAUACCCUGGUAGUCCCAGCCGUAAACGGUGCGCACUUGGUGUAGGGGGUAUUGACCCCCCCUGUGCCGGAGUUAACGCGUUAAGUGCGCCGCCUGGGGAGUACGGCCGCAAGGUUAAAACUCAAAGAAAUUGACGGGGGCCUCACAAGCGGAGGAGCAUGUGGCUUAAUUCGAUGCAACGCGAAGAACCUUACCAGGGCUUGACAUGGGGACCCUUCGGGGGUGUCGGCGAAAGUCGGCUUUACCAUCACAGGUGCUGCAUGGCUGUCGUCAGUUCGUGCCGUGAGGUGUUGCGUUAAGUCCCGCAACGAACGCAACCCCUGUGCUUAGUUGCCACCAUGGGUGAUGAGCCCGUGAGCACUCUAAGCAGACUGCCCGUACAAGCGGGAGGAAGGUGGGGACGACGUCAAGUCAGUAUGGCCCUUACGUCCUGGGCUGCACACGUGCUACAAUGGUCGGUACAGAAGGACGCAAGACCGCGAGGUGGAGCAAAUCCUGAAAACCGGCCUCAGUUCGGAUUGGAGUCUGCAACUCGACUCCAUGAAGUCGGAUUCGCUAGUAACGGCGUAUCAGCAACGGCGCCGUGAAUACGUUCCCGGGCCUUGUACACACCGCCCGUCACAUCAUGAAAGCCGUCUGCACCCGAAGUCGCUGAGCUAAUCUAUCAUUAGAUGGAAGGCAGGCGCCGAAGGUGUGGGUGGUGAUU